This is a non-coding RNA of Picea glauca (white spruce), 121 nucleotides long. Lineage: Eukaryota; Viridiplantae; Streptophyta; Pinopsida; Pinales; Pinaceae. The record is from Rfam.
ACAUGACUACAAUAUAGCGUUAAUGGACCAGGUCCCAUCAUAACUCCACAUUUAAGAGAAUUUGGGCUAGAGUAGUACUAAGAUGGGUGUCCUCCCGAGAAUUCCUAGUGUUUUACAUGCC